Molecule: transfer RNA, 72 nt
Filed under: Pseudomonas aeruginosa
Lineage: Bacteria; Pseudomonadati; Pseudomonadota; Gammaproteobacteria; Pseudomonadales; Pseudomonadaceae
Description: tRNA-Thr
Rfam family: tRNA
About the family: Transfer RNA (tRNA) molecules are approximately 80 nucleotides in length. Their secondary structure includes four short double-helical elements and three loops (D, anti-codon, and T loops).
Source: RNAcentral
GCUCAUGUAGCUCAGUUGGUAGAGCACACCCUUGGUAAGGGUGAGGUCAGCGGUUCAAACCGCACGUCAACG